This 505-nucleotide ribosomal RNA is filed under the name uncultured bacterium. Its description in RNAcentral is "partial 16S ribosomal RNA". It matches the Rfam family "Bacterial small subunit ribosomal RNA", at positions 28 to 507 of the family's 1533-position model. The record is from RNAcentral.
GACGAACGCUGGCGGCGUGCCUAAUACAUGCAAGUAGAACGCACAGUUUAUACCGUAGCUUGCUACACCAUAAACUGUGAGUUGCGAACGGGUGAGUAACGCGUAGGUAACCUGCCUGGUAGCGGGGGAUAACUAUUGGAAACGAUAGCUAAUACCGCAUAAUAUUAAUUAUUGCAUGAUAAUUGAUUGAAAGAUGCAAUUGCAUCACUACCAGAUGGACCUGCGUUGUAUUAGCUAGUAGGUGAGGUAACGGCUCACCUAGGCGACGAUACAUAGCCGACCUGAGAGGGUGAUCGGCCACCCUGGGACUGAGACACGGCCCAGACUCCUACGGGAGGCAGCAGUAGGGAAUCUUCGGCAAUGGACGAAAGUCUGACCGAGCAACGCCGCGUGAGUGAAGAAGGUUUUCGGAUCGUAAAGCUCUGUUGUAAGAGAAGAACGGGUGUGAGAGUGGAAAGUUCACACUGUGACGGUAUCUUACCAGAAAGGGACGGCUAACUACGUG